GCACAAGCGGAGGAACAUGUGGUUAAUUCGAUGAUACGCGAGGAACCUUACCUGGGCUUAAAUGUAGAGUGCAUGAGGUAGAAAUUACCUCUUUUCUUCGGAACUCUCUGCAAGGUGCUGCAUGGUUGUCGUCAGCUCGUGCCGUGAGGUGUCGGGUUAAGUCCCAUAACGAGCGCAACCCUUAUCGUUAGUUGCCAGCGGGUAAUGCCGGGGACUCUAGCGAAACUGCCGGUGUAAACCGAGAGGAAGGUGGGGAUGACGUCAAAUCAGCACGGCCCUUAUGUCCAGGGCUACACACGUGUUACAAUGGCCGGUACAGAGGGCAGCUACCUGGAGACAGGAUGCGAAUCUCGAAAGCCGGUCUCAGUUCGGAUCGGAGUCUGCAACUCGACUCCGUGAAGCUGGAUUCGCUAGUAAUCGCGCAUCAGCCAUGGCGCGGUGAAUACGUUCCCGGGCCUU
This 459-nucleotide ribosomal RNA is filed under the name uncultured Sphingobacteriales bacterium. RNAcentral's name for it is "bacterial SSU rRNA". It matches the Rfam family "Bacterial small subunit ribosomal RNA", at positions 923 to 1382 of the family's 1533-position model. Lineage: Bacteria; Pseudomonadati; Bacteroidota; Sphingobacteriia; Sphingobacteriales. The record is from RNAcentral.